CCUACGGGAGGCAGCAGUGAGGAAUAUUGGUCAAUGGGCGGAAGCCUGAACCAGCCAAGUAGCGUGCGGGAUGAAGGCCCUACGGGUCGUAAACUGCUUUUGCACGGGGAUAACACCCUCCACUUGUGGAGGUCUGCAUGUACCGUGCGAAUAAGGGCCGGCUAAUUCCGUGCCAGCAGCCGCGGUAAUACGGAGGGCCCGAGCGUUAUCCGGAUUCAUUGGGCUAAAAGGGAGCGUAGGGGGGCGUUCAAGUCAGCUGUAAAAUCGCGGGGCUAAACCGCGCCCCGCAGUUGAAACUGGCAGCCUUGAGUUCACAAGAGGCAGGCGGAAUUCGUGGUGUAGCGGUGAAAUGCAUAGAUAUCACGAGGAACCCCGAUUGCGAAGGCAGCCUGCCGGGGUGCGACUGACGCUGAGGCUCGAAGGUGCGGGUAUCAAACAGGAUUAGAUACCCUUGUAGUC
RNAcentral lists this ribosomal RNA (459 nucleotides) under uncultured bacterium. Its description in RNAcentral is "partial 16S ribosomal RNA". It matches the Rfam family "Bacterial small subunit ribosomal RNA", at positions 338 to 795 of the family's 1533-position model. The record is from RNAcentral.